This 821-nucleotide ribosomal RNA is filed under the name Diclidophlebia lanceomedia. RNAcentral describes it as "partial small subunit ribosomal RNA". Lineage: Eukaryota; Metazoa; Arthropoda; Insecta; Hemiptera; Liviidae. The record is from RNAcentral.
AUGAUUAUAUUAAUGCUAAAUUUAUGAAAAAGGAUUUAAAAGUAAUUUUAUUUGUUAAAAGAAAUAUAAUGAAUAAAGUUUCUAAAAUAUGUACACAUUGCCCGUCACUCUUAAAUUUUAAAAUAAGAUAAGUCGUAACAUAGUAAGUGUACCGGAAGGUGUACUUHGGGAAUAAGUAAUUUAAAUUUAAAGUUUAUUAUUUACACUAAUAGGAUAUCUAAAAGAUCUUAUUUAUUAAGACAAAGUUUAUNUGGGUAAUAAUUNUUAUUUUGUUUUGAUUGUAAGGGGGGAACAAUUAUAUCAAAUAAAAGAUUUAUUAAUCAUACCUUUUGUAUCAGGGUCAAUUUAAUUAUWUUAGAAAUUAAAUUUUUUUCGAAAAAAAAAGAUUUAAAUAUAAAAUAUUNUUUAUGUGGAAAAAAUAAUGGUUUAUUUGUAUUUAGAACUGAAAUAGUUAUCAAUUUUUUAUAUCUAGUUAUUUUAUCAUUUAAUUUAAUUAAUUUAACUUUUUGAAAAAUUAAAAUUUAAAAACUUAUUUGGGGAUAAGCUUAAAUUUAUAAAAUAUAGAAAAGUUAAAAAAAAUGAUAAUUAAAAUUAAAAAUAUUUAUAUGUAUUUGUUAAAAUAAAUCAUUUUUAUAUUUAAGAAUAUUUAUAUUACUUUUAUGGGGGUAAAAGUAAUAUAAUAAAAUAUUGCUAUUAUAAUAAAAAUGAUUGAAUUAGUAGAAUAAUAAAAUUAGUAUUUAAGAAUUUGGCAAAUUAAGAAUUUCGUUUGUUUAUCAAAAACAUUUUUAUAAGUUAUAUUUUUAUAAUAGUACCUGCUCAAU